AUGCACGCCAUGGCCGACGCCGGCGGCCCCCCGCUCAAUCUCUGCCCUCUCUGCGGCCACCCCACCACCAGCACCAUCUCUUCCUCCCGCCCAUCGUCUCCGCCAUUGGCGGCUACGAGGCCGACGCUGAAGAGGAAUUCACCACCAGAGGCGCCGCCCGCGGUGGUGCGGGUGGAGAUAGGUGACGAGGCGGCGGCACUGCGGGAGGCUCUGGCGCGGCAGCAGGCGGCGCUGGCGGAUUUGCAGGCCGAGCUGGAUGCGGAGCGGGGCGCGGCGGCCGGCGCCGCGAGCGAGGCCAUGACGAUGAUCCUUCGCCUGCAGCGGGAGAAGGCUGAGGCCAUGAUGGAGGCGCGCCAGUUCCGGCGCUACGCAGAGGAGAAGAUGUCCCACGACGCCGCGGAGCUCGCCGCCCUCGAGGAGACCAUCGCCAAGCGCGAGGCCUCGGUGCGCGGCCUCCAGUCUCUGUCACGCCUCAGCGUCGCCAACGCUGCAUCGUUGCAUUCCACCCCGCGAGUCUCCUCCACGCCGCGCAACCCGUCCACGCCAUCGACGGUUGGGGCCGGCGGCUAUUACCCACCGUUGCGAUGCUUUAGUGGCCGCUUUAAUGACCACCCGCCGACCGCGUCGGAGGCGGACGUGCUCGACAUGCAGACCCCGCGCGACCACCUCGCGCGCCUCUCCAACCGCGUCCAAAUCCUCGAGCACCGCGCACCGCCCACAUCCACCACUACGCCCAUCAUCCGCGUCGCGCCGGGCUCCACCUUCCCCCGCAACCCGCGUCCAUUCUCCGACACUGACAGCCUUGACUUCUGCGACGGCGAGUACUUCCCGGACGACGACUGCGGCGCCAGCGAUCGGGUGUACACCGUGGACGCCAUCCACGGCCGCGGUGUUCCCCUGGUCGUGCCAGAGGGCUCCAUCUGUGGCGGCACUCCGGCUGGGAGCGACUGCUGCGCCGGCGGGCCGUGGGGGGAAGACGAGGAUAUGCGUCGGCUCAGCGCACGCCUCCAGGCGCUGGAGGCCGACCGAGAGACCAUGCGCCAGGCCAUCAUCUCCAUGGGCGCCGAGAAAGCGCAGGUGGUGCUUCUCAAGGAGAUCGCGCAACAGCUGUGCAAGGACGCCCCGCCACCUUUGCCGGCGGUGACCGUGGGGCAACAUUACUACAAGGGGGCAACGCCACCGGCCGUGACCGUCACUGUACCACGGCCGCAGCGACCGAUGGUCAUGCACAGGAUGGUGCUCAAGAGCCAGCCCACGAGGACGUCAUUCUUUUCUACUGUAGUCAAGUGGGUCGCAUCUAUCGUCUCCUGGCGAAGGAAAUCUUCCCGUAUCAAGUACCCUAUUGGCCAAUGCGGUAACAAUGUCGGGUUGAUGUUGCUGCUCGACAAGUCUUCAAAAUCUGCAGGCAACGGGCAUCAUAAACCUCCCAAAAGGAUUUAG
This 1440-nucleotide ribosomal RNA is filed under the name Triticum aestivum (bread wheat). RNAcentral's name for it is "partial small subunit ribosomal RNA". Lineage: Eukaryota; Viridiplantae; Streptophyta; Magnoliopsida; Poales; Poaceae. The record is from RNAcentral.